Molecule: ribosomal RNA, 512 nt
Filed under: uncultured bacterium
Lineage: Bacteria
Description: bacterial SSU rRNA
Rfam family: Bacterial small subunit ribosomal RNA
Source: RNAcentral
AGGGUUCGAUUCUGGCUCAGGAUGAACGCUGGCGGCGUGCCUAACACAUGCAAGUCGAACGAAGCACUUUACCGGAGAUUCGUCGAAGGUGAAUUGACUUAGUGGCGGACGGGUGAGUAAUGUAUGAGCAACCUGCCUUUCAGUGGGGGACAACAGUUGGAAACGACUGCUAAUACCGCAUAAUGUACAGAGGGGGCAUCCCUUUUGUACCAAAGGAGUAAUUCGCUGAAAGAUGGGCUCAUAUCUGAUUAGUUAGUUGGUGGGGUAACGGCUCACCAAGACUGCGAUCAGUAGCCGGACUGAGAGGUUGAACGGCCACAUUGGGACUGAGAUACGGCCCAGACUCCUACGGGAGGCAGCAGUGGGGAAUAUUGGGCAAUGGGCGAAAGCCCUGACCCAGCAACGCCGCGUGAAGGAAGAAGGUCUUCGGAUUGUAAACUUCUUUUAUGAGGGACGAAGGACGUGACGGUACCUCAUGAAUAAGCCACGGCUAACUACGUGCCAGCCGCCGC